This is a long non-coding RNA of Oreochromis niloticus (Nile tilapia), 1342 nucleotides long. RefSeq lists it as uncharacterized. The record is from RefSeq and is a predicted model, not a curated record. Lineage: Eukaryota; Metazoa; Chordata; Actinopteri; Cichliformes; Cichlidae. The transcript is spliced from 3 exons.
CAGAGCGGCUGCGGACAUCCUUCCCCCGUGUGCCCUCCCAGAUGUGCGUGUAUUAACCAGACUGCUGUCCAACCUAUUUGACAGAGUCACAGACGUGAGGAUAGUGUCUGAUAAGGCACAUAACGACAACUUCCAGUGUGGAAGAACCAGAAGGCACGAGAAGAAGCCCUAUCCUGAGGUCUGAGAUGGAAGCGCAUUCCUUUUGGUUGGACAGCAGGUGGCAGUACAUGCAGACCACAAAGCUAUCCUGUCUGCAGGAGUAAAAGGCUCAGGGAAGGGAGGGGGGCCGCUAAGAUGUUCAGUGCACAGACACACACGCAUGCAUGCUCGCAUACACAUCCAGUUUGCACUUACAUCAUCAUUACCAGGGGAGGAGCUCUGCAGAAUGUGAGGAUUGCAGACAGCUACUGUAACAGGGAUGACUUCAAAAGAAACAGCAACAUUGGCAUGAUUCAGUCUUGACACCCUGCGGUCAGUGUGAAGACUCUAAACUGCUGCAGUCCUGGUCAGAGCAUGAGGAUCCUGCCAGGGUGAUUCACAGGAGCUGGGACGUGACUUUAGUGACCUCAGUACAGCAGCAUGGCAUCACCCAGGCACUACGGACACUCUGCUCGGGAUAUUACCAACGUGAUGCAGAAGCUGCAAGGAAGCAUCGCACCCUGCAGGCAUACCUGUGUGAGCGCCGGGCGCUGACCCACGUCCAACCUCCACAACCUCAGUGAAGGAUCUGGUAUUUUCUGGGGCUGCCAGGGGCUCCAACAGGGAUCCAGACCAGCUGAGGUUCAGGCUGUUUCAACCCCCCACUAUCAUCUUUUUUUUGUUUUUUUCCUCUUGGAAAGACUGAAACACUCCUGAGAUCUGCAGCCUAAAGGAGUCUGUUGGUUUAUUUUGGUUUAUACCGUAUAUGUGAAAGUGAUUGUCUCCAUUCAGCUUAUUCCGUUCAACAUGUGUGUGUGAGCCUGUGUGCACCUGCUCACCCUGUGGUUCUCUCAGCUCCCGUGGUGAAGUCUAAUAAGUCCCAUGAAUCCUCACCAUGUUGUUUUGGUUUUUGUCCUGGGGUUGUUUUUCUUAACAGUUUAGUUCACCAGAGAAGUUCUGCUUCCACAUUUUUCGCUGUUAAAAAGGAAAAAUUAUCUAAAAACAAACAAACAAACAAACAAAAAAAAACAGAAAUACUGUAGCUCAAAAGACUUGGACUUUCAGCGUGGCUAUAGCUGGUCAUUAUUUAGUGCUGGCUCUUUGUAAAUUUACUGCUUUAAAGUGGAUUAAAAAUCGCAUUAAUUCUCGUUGAUUGAUUCUCUUUGGCGGGUUCAGCACCUCGGAUAGUUCCCUCACACUUCGG